GCAUAUCGACCACAGAAUAAAUAAUAAAUAAUUGGUGAUAAUAAACGUUUUCAUCGAUCGAAAAAAUUAUAGUCGCGUGAUCGUCGCGGAACAGGAUAGAGCUGAAUAUACGUUAUCAUUGGAAUGACGAGGUGCAGAAUACUUUAUCCAUCCCUAUCUACCCUGACACCUGCACUUUUGAUAUUUAAGGUAUCGGAAAUGUACGGACGUCAUAGUUAUUUACCUAAUACGACAACAACGUAUUGUCUUG
Molecule: non-coding RNA, 250 nt
Organism: Cinara cedri
Lineage: Eukaryota; Metazoa; Arthropoda; Insecta; Hemiptera; Aphididae
Source: the annotation of a GenBank genome assembly